GAUGAAGAACGCAGCGAAAUGCGAUACGUAAUGUGAAUUGCAAAUUCAGUGAAUCAUCGAGUCUUUGAACGCACAUUGCGCCCCCUGGUAUUCCGGGGGGCAUGCCUGUCCGAGCGUCAUUGCUGCCCUCAAGCACGGCUUGUGUGUUGGGCCCCGUCCUCCGAUCCCGGGGGACGGGCCCGAAAGGCAGCGGCGGCACCGCGUCCGGUCCUCGAGCGUAUGGGGCUUUGUCACCCGCUCUGUAGGCCCGGCCGGCGCUUGCCGAUCAACCCAAAUUUUUAUCCAGGUUGACCUCGUAUCAGGUAGGGAUACCCGCUGAACUUAAGCAUAUCAAUAAGCGGAGGA
Molecule: unclassified non-coding RNA, 345 nt
Filed under: soil metagenome
Description: partial contains 5.8S ribosomal RNA, internal transcribed spacer 2, and large subunit ribosomal RNA
Rfam family: 5.8S ribosomal RNA (bases 1-119)
Source: RNAcentral